Molecule: ribosomal RNA, 1162 nt
Filed under: Diaporthales sp. SS-2016
Lineage: Eukaryota; Fungi; Ascomycota; Sordariomycetes; Diaporthales
Description: LSU rRNA
Rfam family: Eukaryotic large subunit ribosomal RNA
Source: RNAcentral
GUAACGGCGAGUGAAGGGCAACAGCUCAAAUUUGAAAUCGGGCCCCGGACUCGUCCGGGGCCCGAGUUGUAAUUUGCAGAGGACGCCCCGGGCGCGGCGCCUGCCCGAGUUCCCUGGAACGGGACGCCGCAGAGGGUGAGAGCCCCGUAGCGGCAGGCGGUCGGGUCCCCCUGUGGGGCUCCUUCAAAGAGUCGAGUAGUUUGAGAAUGCUGCUAAAAGCGGGAAGUAAAUCCCUUAUAAAGUUAAAUCCCGGCGGGAGACCGAUAGCGCACAAGUAGCGUGAGCGAAAGAUGAAAAGCACUCUGGAGAGAGGGUCAAACAGUACGUGAAAUUGCUGAAAGGGAAGCGCUGGCGACCAGACGUGGGCCCGGCGGCUCACCCGGCGUUCCGCGCCGGUUCACUCCGCCCGCGUGCCCAGGCCAGCAUCGGUGCGGGCGGGGGGAUAAGGGGGGUUCUUUUCGGGAACCCCUUCCCGGGGGAGUGUUACAGCCCGCCCCUUGAUGCCCCCGUCGGGACCGAGGGACCGCCGGGCCCCCCGGUAAAGGGGCGAGGAUGCUGGCGUAAUGGUCAUUAGCGACCCGUCUUGAAACACGGACCAAGGAGUCGUCCACUGGAGCGAGCGUCAGGGCGUCCCAAAACCCGCGGCGCGGAAUGAAAGUGACAGGUGAGAGCCUUUUUUGGGCGCAUCAUCGACCGAUCCCGAGGCAGACGCGGACGGAUUUGAGUAGGAGUUCCAGCGGACGGACCCGAAAGACAGUGAACUAUGCCUGUAUAGGGUGAAGCCAGAGGAAACUCUGGUGGAGGCUCGCAGCGGUUCUGACGUGCAAAUCGAUCGUCAAAUAUGGGCAUGGGGGCGAAAGACUAAUCGAACUGUCUAGUAGCUGGUUGCCGCCGAAGUUUCCCUCAGGAUAGCAGUGUUGUCGCUCAGUUUUAUGAGGUAAAGCGAAUGAUUAGGGACUCGGGGGCGCCUAUCAGCCUUCAUCCAUUCUCAAACUUUAAAUAUGUAAGAAGCCCUUGUUGCUCGGGUGAACGUGGGCGUUCGAAUGAAACAACACUAGUGGGCCAUUUUUGGUAAGCAGAACUGGCGAUGCGGGAUGAACCGAACGGGGGGUUAAGGCGCCGGAGUGUACGCUCAUCAGACACCACAAAAGGCGUUAGCACA